CCUACGGGAGGCAGCAGUGAGGAAUAUUGGUCAAUGGGCGUAAGCCUGAACCAGCCAAGUCGCGUGAGGGAUGAAGGUUCUAUGGAUCGUAAACCUCUUUUAUAAGGGAAUAAAGUGUGGGACGUGUCCUGUUUUGUAUGUACCUUAUGAAUAAGGAUCGGCUAACUCCGUGCCAGCAGCCGCGGUAAUACGGAGGAUCCGAGCGUUAUCCGGAUUUAUUGGGUUUAAAGGGUGCGUAGGCGGGCUUUUAAGUCAGCGGUAAAAAUUCGGGGCUCAACCCCGUCCGGCCGUUGAAACUGGGGGCCGUGAGUGGGCGAGAAGAAGGCGGAAUGCGUGGUGUAGCGGUGAAAUGCAUAGAGAUCACGCAGAACCCCGAUUGCGAAGGCAGCCUUCCGGCGCCCUACUGACGCUGAGGCACGAAAGUGCGGGGAUCGAACAGGAUUAGAUACCCGAGUAGUC
This 459-nucleotide ribosomal RNA is filed under the name uncultured bacterium. RNAcentral describes it as "partial 16S ribosomal RNA". It matches the Rfam family "Bacterial small subunit ribosomal RNA", at positions 338 to 795 of the family's 1533-position model. The record is from RNAcentral.